RNAcentral lists this ribosomal RNA (268 nucleotides) under uncultured bacterium. Its description in RNAcentral is "partial 16S ribosomal RNA". It matches the Rfam family "Bacterial small subunit ribosomal RNA", at positions 87 to 354 of the family's 1533-position model. The record is from RNAcentral.
CCCGGCGACCGGCGCACGGGUGAGUAACACGUAUGCAACCUGGCCGCCACAGGGGGAUAACCCGCGGAAACGCGGCCUAAUACCCCGUGACGCCACCGGAGGGCAUCCUCCGGUGGCCAAAGGAGCGAUCCGGUGGCGGAUGGGCAUGCGGCGCAUUAGCUAGACGGCGGGGUGACGGCCCACCGUGGCGACGAUGCGUAGGGGUUCUGAGAGGAAGGCCCCCACACUGGGACUGAGACACGGCCCAGACUCCUACGGAAGGCAGCAG